This 253-nucleotide ribosomal RNA is filed under the name uncultured bacterium. RNAcentral's name for it is "partial 16S ribosomal RNA". It matches the Rfam family "Bacterial small subunit ribosomal RNA", at positions 524 to 776 of the family's 1533-position model. The record is from RNAcentral.
UACAGAGGUGGCAAGCGUUGUUCGGAAUUACUGGGCGUAAAGGGCGCGUAGGCGGUUGCCUAAGUCGGACGUGAAAUCCCCAAGCUUAACUUGGGAACUGCAUCUGAUACUGGGUGACUUGAGUUCGGGAGAGGAAUGUGGAAUUCCAGGUGUAGCGGUGAAAUGCGUAGAUAUCUGGAGGAACACCGGUGGCGAAGGCGGCAUCCUGGACCAACACUGACGCUGAGGAGCGAAAGCCAGGGGAGCAAACGGG